GAUAAGAACGCAGCGAAAUGCGAUAAGUAAUGUGAAUUGCAGAAUUCAGUGAAUCAUCGAAUCUUUGAACGCACAUUGCGCCCCCUGGUAUUCCGGGGGGCAUGCCUGUUCGAGCGUCAUUUCACCACUCAAGCCUCGCUUGGUAUUGGGCAUCGCGGUCCGCCGCGUGCCUCAAAUCGACCGGCUGGGUCUUCUGUCCCCUAAGCGUUGUGGAAACUAUUCGCUAAAGGGUGUUCGGGAGGCUACGCCGUAAAACAACCCCAUUUCUAAGGUUGACCUCGGAUCAGGUAGGGAUACCCGCUGAACUUAAGCAUAUCAAUAAGCGGAGGA
RNAcentral lists this unclassified non-coding RNA (330 nucleotides) under soil metagenome. RNAcentral's name for it is "partial contains 5.8S ribosomal RNA, internal transcribed spacer 2, and large subunit ribosomal RNA". The stretch from base 4 to 119 matches the Rfam family "5.8S ribosomal RNA", at positions 39 to 154 of the family's 154-position model. The record is from RNAcentral.